AUAUCUAUCAACCAUUUUGUGUGCUUGCAUGCAAACUUGGCUUGGAUGUGAGGGUUUUUGCUGGCUUUCGUGGUCUGCUCCCUUUAAAUGCAUUAGUGGGAAUUCUCUGCAGCCGGUCUUUCCGUGUGAUAAACCUUUACGCGGUCUGUACUUGUGGGGAAACCUGCUUAUAACCGUCCGAAAGGACAACAUUAUUUUAUGA
This 202-nucleotide unclassified non-coding RNA is filed under the name uncultured Roridomyces. RNAcentral's name for it is "sequence contains ITS2". The record is from RNAcentral. Lineage: Eukaryota; Fungi; Basidiomycota; Agaricomycetes; Agaricales.